This is a long non-coding RNA of Leucoraja erinaceus (little skate), 1409 nucleotides long. RefSeq lists it as uncharacterized. The record is from RefSeq and is a predicted model, not a curated record. NCBI's taxonomy places the organism in Eukaryota, Metazoa, Chordata, Chondrichthyes, Rajiformes, Rajidae. The transcript is spliced from 5 exons.
UUGUGUGUGUUAUCUAUAUUACUAAAACUCAGUUCUUGACCGCUUUUCCCGAUCUGUGCUGCGAUUUCCGAGAGAACGCCGCCACCUACGGCCGUCAUUUUUGGCCACCUCCCUCAGAGCCCCCCUCUGCCGCAUGUGUGCCGAGGAUGUUUCCCCUCGAUGAAAUAUGACCAAGAUAUUAAUGUUUUUACAUCAUUCCCCAUUCUCACUGCUGCCCCCACUGGCGGCAGGGGACGGGAGGGGCUAUAAAACCCGGGAGCGUCCCGCUUCAACUCACUUUCUUGCCGGCCACAAAGUGAAAGGGUCACGGCUCUCUGAGCUGCUGCUCUGCUCCCAGAUGGCGGCAAUGACGUCAUUUCCAAUGAAUGGUAAGAUGGCGACGAUCACUUCAUUUCCGGCGAUCGGUAAGAUGGCGGCGAUUACGUAAUUUCCGGUCGGAGGCAAGAUGGCGCUGAAGACGCGCACGAGGUGUUAGAUAAUGUUACAGAGCUGCUCAAAAAUGGACAUAUUCAGCGGGUUUUAACGGAUCCGCUACGUUCAGGUUCAGAUUCAGAUUCAGUUUCAACUUUAAUUGUCGUUGUCCGUGUACAGUAAACAGAGACAACGAAAUUCGGUUAGCAUCUCCCUGGAACAUGGAGUUGGAAACGAUGUAUCCUCUAGGAUAGCAGCUACAUUUCUGCCUGGUGGAAGAACGACACAUUCUCGAUUCCAAAUAUCCAUCCAAGUGGCCGAGGAUACAUUGUGCAACAUCGAGAAGAACUCUGAGACGGCACAUUUCACGAGGCAAGUGAAAGUCAUUGUUUGGGAUGAAUGUCCAAUGAUUAGGAGAGAAUGCUUUGAAGUUGUGGACAGAACUCUUCCAGAUGUCUUCAGCAACACCAAGCAUAUUGGUGCCCCCCUGCCAGUACAGGCCUCAGUGACUGAGCUGUCCGCCCAAAAAUCCAUUCCGCCAACAAACUCCAUACUAGCCCUCUGGAAACCAGUACCUUUGGCCCAACAUACUAGCUCAACAGAAAUAUGAAGGGAAAUGUCAAAGGUUUCCUGAAGGAUGGAACAUCGCCCAAGAAUGUUGUCAUUAAUAGCGUGCUUCGUUGAAUGAUGACUUCUGAGGUAAAUUCUCAGAUUUUCCUUCUUAAAAUCUGACCGCUGGCUUUCUCUAUAUUAAAAUUGUCUCUUUUUAUCAACAGGAAAUAGUCAUCAAGAGGCAGUGAACAGCAGAACACAACAAGACGCAACAAGACACAACAAGAAAUAGUCAUCAAGAGGCAGUGAGCAGCAGAACACAACAAGACGCAACAAGACACAACAAGUAAAAACUUAAUAAAUCUCAUCUUUAAAAUUUAAAUUGUUCUUAUAUUUUAAGAGUCAUUCACAUUUUAAACUUUAAUAAAACCUUUUUGCACUUUUAA